Molecule: long non-coding RNA, 1176 nt
Filed under: Homo sapiens (human)
Lineage: Eukaryota; Metazoa; Chordata; Mammalia; Primates; Hominidae
Description: HSALNT0038841
Source: RNAcentral
AGAGUCUGUUCCCUACACAGAAGGCAGCAUCCCUUUCCCUCUGAGGACAGUUAUCUGCAGCCCAUAAGGAUUUGUGCUGUGGCUGCUGGUCAUUCCUGUAGGAGAGGCUGGGCUUCUGCCGGCCUGGGAGGGCAUCAGGAGUGGCCAGUUGUCCUGAGCUGGCAUCAUGUCAACUUCAGGUCCCAGGCGAGACCUCGGUGUGCUCACUGGCCCGCACCUACAGGAUUAUGCUGUGGGCCUUGGUGGCUGGGGUGGUGACUCCAGCCAUGGUGGUGGGACAGACUGUUGGCUUCCACACAGCAUUUCCCCUCUUCUGAGCUCCAGUCCAGGAUGGUCCCUCACUGCCCAGGGCCUGGCACCUGUCCCAGAUCCUUCUGCAUCAGCGGGUGCGCAUGGAUUCUGUCUGCCGACACCAGAGCCGCAGAGCCAGACACAGAUUGGUGAGCAGUGCUUAUGCGUUGAAGGCACUCAGGUUCCAUCAUGGAACCAGGUCGCCCGAGGAUGCUGACCCCAUGGAGGCAAUCAGGCUGCAGAGAGCUCGAGGAACGCCUGUCCCUGUGAGCUGCUCAGGGACCUAAGCUCUCAGAGUGUCACUGCCGUUGAUUCUGGAACAGAGUUUGCAGGCCAAGUCCACAAGCUAAGAAUAGUUUUUUACAUUUUUAAAUGGUUAAAAACAAAUCAAAAGAAGAAGAAUAUUGCAUGAUGUGAAAAUGAUAUGACAUUCAAACUAAAUGCCUAUACAUACAGUUUUAUUGGGAUGCAGUGACCUCAUUCAUUUAUACGUUAGUUAGGACAGGGACCCAUAUGGCCUGCAAGGCCUUUAGGGACUUUGGCUGACCCUUUGCAGAAGAAGUUUGCUGGCCACUGAUCCAGAGGCUUCCUUGGCUGGCAGAUGUCCCAGCAGACCACCACUGCUCCCCUUCUGUCCUCCUCCUGGGACUCUCUCCUGGGUGGCCAUGCUGCUUCCAUGACCCUCCUCAGCUGACGGGUUCACCUGUGGCCCUGACCAAGACCAUCACAGUUUCCUGAACAUCAAAAUGCAUUAUCAGUGAGUCUGUUGAAGACAUUUAGAGAGUGAGGAUCUGGAAGGCUGAGGGUGGCACUCUGUGAUUCUUCAGAGCCCUUCUCAUGCCCAGCACAGGACAGGACUAAAUAAAUAAGGGAAACAGAUGGGCA